RNAcentral lists this ribosomal RNA (104 nucleotides) under uncultured bacterium. RNAcentral describes it as "partial 16S ribosomal RNA". The record is from RNAcentral.
AUGAAGGUCCUAUGGAUUGUAAACUUCUUUUGAACGGGAGAAAACCUUUGGUCGUGUACCGAAGCUGAUAGUACCGUUAGAAUAAGGGUCGGCUAACUUCGUGC